GAUGAACGCUGGCGGCGUGCCUAAUACAUGCAAGUCGAGCGAACGGACGAGAAGCUUGCUUCUCUGAUGUUAGCGGCGGACGGGUGAGUAACACGUGUAUAACCUACCUAUAAGACUGGGAUAACUUCGGGAAACCGGAUCUAAUACCGGAUAAUAUUUUGAACCGCAUGGUUCAAAAGUGAAAGACGGUCUUGCUGUCACUUAUAGAUGGAUCCCCGCUGCAUUAGCUAGUUGGUAAGGUAACGGCUUACCAAGGCAACGAUGCAUAGCCGACCUGAGAGGGGGGUAGGCCACCCUGGAACGGGAGAAACGGCCCGGAGCCUGAGGGAGGGAACAGGAGGGAAUCUUCCGCAAAGGGCGAAAGCCUGACGGAGCAACGCCGAGUGAGUGAUGAAGGUCUUCGGAUCGUAAAACUCUGUUAUUAGGGAAGAACAUAUGUGUAAGUAAAUGUGCACAUCUUGACGGUACCUAAUAAGAAAGCAACGGCUAACUACGUG
RNAcentral lists this ribosomal RNA (497 nucleotides) under uncultured bacterium. RNAcentral describes it as "partial 16S ribosomal RNA". It matches the Rfam family "Bacterial small subunit ribosomal RNA", at positions 28 to 507 of the family's 1533-position model. The record is from RNAcentral.